Molecule: ribosomal RNA, 374 nt
Filed under: uncultured bacterium
Lineage: Bacteria
Description: bacterial SSU rRNA
Rfam family: Bacterial small subunit ribosomal RNA
Source: RNAcentral
GUAGGGUGCGAGCGUUGUCCGGAAUUAUUGGGCGUAAAGAGCUUGUAGGCGGUUUGUCGCGUCUGCUGUGAAAAUCCGGGGCUCAACCCCGGACUUGCAGUGGGUACGGGCAGACUAGAGUGUGGUAGGGGAGACUGGAAUUCCUGGUGUAGCGGUGAAAUGCGCAGAUAUCAGGAGGAACACCGAUGGCGAAGGCAGGUCUCUGGGCCACUACUGACGCUGAGAAGCGAAAGCGUGGGGAGCGAACAGGAUUAGAUACCCUGGUAGUCCACGCCGUAAACGUUGGGAACUAGGUGUGGGUCUCAUUCCACGAGAUCUGUGCCGCAGCUAACGCAUUAAGUUCCCCGCCUGGGGAGUACGGCCGCAAGGCUAAA